Molecule: unclassified non-coding RNA, 239 nt
Filed under: Hevea brasiliensis (rubber tree)
Lineage: Eukaryota; Viridiplantae; Streptophyta; Magnoliopsida; Malpighiales; Euphorbiaceae
Source: RNAcentral
ACAGUUGAUUCUGGUAGUAAAGCUCUAGAAUUUCUGGGUUUACAUGAAGAUGACCAAAGCAACCCAGAAACACCUUCUGUUUCUCCAAACAAUAAUCAGGAAGUGGAAGUGAAUCUUAUUAUUACAGAUUACUGUAUGCCUGGCAUGACAGGCUAUGAUUUGCUCAAGAAAAUAAAGGAAUCAUCAUCUCUGAGAAACAUACCAGUAGUGAUAAUGUCAUCUGAGAAUGUUCCUUCAAG